UGGGUACGCUCACUCAAGUAAUCUUCAAAAAGGCACAGAGGUACACCUCUAAUCCCCAGAUUUUCCAUUUUCCGGAUAAGGAGGGGUACAGAAACCGUAAAGUAGUUGUUAGAUCUCAAAUAAAUUUAAAUG
This is a long non-coding RNA of Melitaea cinxia (Glanville fritillary), 132 nucleotides long. RefSeq lists it as uncharacterized. NCBI's taxonomy places the organism in Eukaryota, Metazoa, Arthropoda, Insecta, Lepidoptera, Nymphalidae. The transcript has 3 exons. The record is from RefSeq and is a predicted model, not a curated record.